This 210-nucleotide non-coding RNA is filed under the name Alkalithermobacter paradoxus. RNAcentral's name for it is "Clostridium thermoalcaliphilum T-box sequence". It matches the Rfam family "T-box leader". Rfam says of the family: Uncharged tRNA acts as the effector for transcription antitermination of genes in the T-box leader family. T-boxes are found upstream of many aminoacyl-tRNA synthetase genes and some amino acid biosynthetic genes usually in Gram-positive bacteria. The anticodon of a specific tRNA base pairs to a specifier sequence within the T-box motif, and the NCCA acceptor tail of the tRNA base pairs to a conserved bulge in the T-box antiterminator hairpin. Lineage: Bacteria; Bacillati; Bacillota; Clostridia; Peptostreptococcales; Tepidibacteraceae. The record is from RNAcentral.
GAAAAAGCUAUGAAGGAGAGAGUAGAUUAUAUCUGAUUUCACAGAGAGCUGGUGGCUGCUGAGAACCAGUAAAUCAUUAUAAUUGAAGAUCACUCCAGAGCUGCAGGCUGAACAUUACAAUUAAGCCGUGCCGUUUGAAUGCGUUAAAUCUAAAUGAGUGCCAUAAAUUUGGCAUUAGGGUGGUAACACGGGUUAAACCUCGUCCCUUCU